Molecule: ribosomal RNA, 253 nt
Filed under: uncultured bacterium
Lineage: Bacteria
Description: partial 16S ribosomal RNA
Rfam family: Bacterial small subunit ribosomal RNA
Source: RNAcentral
UACGUAGGGUGCAAGCGUUGUCCGGAAUUAUUGGGCGUAAAGAGCUCGUAGGCGGUCUGUCGCGUCGGCUGUGAAAACCCGAGGCUCAACCUCGGGCCUGCAGUCGAUACGGGCAAACUAGAGUACUGCAGGGGAGACUGGAAUUCCGGGUGUAGCGGUGGAAUGCGUAGAGAUCCGGAAGAACACCGGUGGCGAAGGCGGUCUGCUGGGCAGUAGCUGACACUGAGGCGCGACAGCGUGGGGAGCAAACAGG